UUGGUUCUCCAGAAGGAGCGUCCGCCUGGCCAGACAGGAACCAGCAUUGAUCUGUUUGGCAUCAGGCGUCUCCACAGUGCUGAUCAGGCUGCAGCUACACACACACACACACACACACACACACACGCACACACACGCACACACACACACGCACACACUUUGUUCUGAGGGUUCAUCUAAGUGAUGAGUCCUGAUGUGUGAAGGCCCUGGAGGGGAAGCAGAGAUGAUCCCAGAUCCUCUAUUUGGACCAGUCUGUUAAUCCUUCUCGUCUGUGGACCUCAUCAGUAAUCGAGAUCAUCAGAGAGAAGAUGGUCUGUUUCCAUUGAGUUCUUUUAAUGCAGGUUCACCACAACCUUCUCCAGCGGGGCAUCCAGCAGAGACCAGUCCACCGUGGACAGACGCAGGUCCUCCAGCAGAGACCAGUUCACCGUGGAGGUGGACUGGUCCUCUGAGUGGUUCAUGUUCAACACGGAAAUGUCAAAGGGAGAAAACUCUACAAGUACACCGACGCAGCAAGAGAGAGAGGGAGAGAGAGAGAGAGAGAGUGCCUCAAGAGGUCAUCUGAAGAUCCCUAGAGGUCAUUGGCACACUAAAUCACAAUACUAAAAAUGUUGGCGACAUUACAAACUAGGCAGUGGGUGAGUUUUGUGAUGAUUACUGUGACUCUCAACGUGUUUGGGAUACAACAAAAUCAAUAAGUGAUAUCAACACAAUAAUGUAGUAUGUUUUUAAUCUAGUACCUGGUCAGAUGUAGUGUGAUUUGUUAUGACCUGGUCAGGUCUACUAUAUUUGGGUAUGACUCGGUCGCCACUGGUCUGUUGUGGUUUGUUAUGACCUGGUGUGGUCUGGUCUGGGUUGGUCUGGUAUGGCCUGGUCUGGUUCAGGGCUCCAGCCCCUUACAGUCGGAGGUCUGUUUAACCACAGACGCCGUGUCUCACUUCCUUCAACCGCCCACCUGACUCCCGCUGCAGGACACAAUGGAUUUACCAACCAUUAAGCUAUCAAGAUCUUUUGUUUUGAAAAUAUUUCUGUGGGCCCUUUUUUCCCUAAUUGCCUGUCAAAAUCGACUUGGCUGCCGUCGGCGUGCAGAAAGGAGAGCCGCGCACGCCGUUCAUUAAUUCAUACCGGCUCUAUUCAGACUGGAUUUGGAUUUCACAACCCUGCAGAUAAAACACGCCAACAUGUUCACAUGAGAAUGAUUCAAAUAAAAAAAAGGAAAAGAAAUCA
Long non-coding RNA from Pungitius pungitius (ninespine stickleback), 1227 nucleotides. RefSeq lists it as uncharacterized. NCBI's taxonomy places the organism in Eukaryota, Metazoa, Chordata, Actinopteri, Perciformes, Gasterosteidae. The record is from RefSeq and is a predicted model, not a curated record. The transcript has 2 exons.